Molecule: long non-coding RNA, 480 nt
Organism: Peromyscus eremicus (cactus mouse)
Lineage: Eukaryota; Metazoa; Chordata; Mammalia; Rodentia; Cricetidae
Exons: 3
Source: RefSeq, a predicted model, not a curated record
GUCUGCAGGCCUCCGACUUUUCAUGGAGGUAGGGAAGGCAAAUGGAGGCUUGCUUUGGCUCAUCAUGUUUUGGUGAUUGUUUAGUUACCUUGAUGGCCGGGUCCUACGAGAGUGUACUCAGCUAAAGAAGAAUGUACAUGUAUUGAGACUCCAGAACAUACAGCUGUGGAAGGAGCAGAUUGAACUGCAAGAGACCUGUGAGGAGGUGAAAUAGCUCUUGAAGGAGGCCCAUGAGAAGAUCUGUGACUCCUGUGCUGAGCAGCAGCAGGAGCAAGAGAGCCUGGAUGGAAGACUGAAGGACCUGCUGAAGCAGAAGGAGCUGGUCACCGUGCAAAGGGACUUGGCAGAAAAGCUGCAACAUCACUUCAGGGUCUCUGAGAUAAGGUCAGAAAAUCUCCAGGCUGAGCUGAACAUGUCACAGCCCAGGAUGAGAGCCUCCUGCAGACAGAGCUGCUGGAGCAGGAGCAGGAAGUAUCACAG